CCUCAAUCAGUUCAGGGGAAUUUAUAGUUGCAUUUCUUGUUAGGAAAUAUACUUGCCACCUUUGAAAUCCACCAGUGGACUGUUUUCGUACCUACAGGCUUCUGUUUCAGGAAAAAAGAAACUGUCUCCUGAUGCAGCUGGAAGAAGCCACCCGCCUCACGUCCUACCUCCAGUCCUAGUUACAAAGAACUUAGAUCCUGAAGUGGCUGUAAUCAGAGGACAGAAAGUGGAUAUAUGAUAUUUUUUAAGAGGAGCUGCUCAUAUAUGAUCCAAGG
This 275-nucleotide long non-coding RNA is filed under the name Bos indicus x Bos taurus (hybrid cattle). RNAcentral describes it as "lncRNA (ENSBIXG00005010341.1)". Lineage: Eukaryota; Metazoa; Chordata; Mammalia; Artiodactyla; Bovidae. The record is from RNAcentral.